GGAUAACCUACCCUCAGGAGGGGGAUAACCCCGGGAAACUGGGGAUAAUACCCCAUAGAUCAGGGACGCUGGAAUGCGCCCUGAUUCAAAGGUCCGCCGCCUGAGGAUGGGUCUGCGGCCGAUUAGGUUGUUGUUGGGGUAACGGCCCAACAAGCCAUUGAUCGGUACGGGUUGUGAGAGCAAGAGCCCGGAGAUGGAUUCUGAGACACGAAUCCAGGCCCUACGGGGCGCAGCAGGCGCGAAAACUUUACAAUGCGAGAAAUCGUGAUAAGGGAACCCCGAGUGCCCGUAAAUUCGGGCUGUCCGCCAGUGUAAAUAACUGGUGAAGAAAGGGCCGGGCAAGACCGGUGCCAGCCGCCGCGGUAAUACCGGCGGCUCGAGUGGUGGCCACUAUUACUGGGCUUAAAGCGUCCGUAGCUGGAUUGUUAAGUCUCUUGGGAAAUCCAUCGGCUCAACCGAUGGGCGUUCAGGAGAAACUGGCAAUCUAGGGACCGGGAGAGGUGAGAGGUACUCCAGGGGUAGGAGUGAAAUCCUGUAAUCCUUGGGGGACCACCUGUGGCGAAGGCGUCUCACUAGAACGGCUCCGACAGUGAGGGACGAAAGCUGGGGGAGCAAACCGGAUUAGAUACCCGGGUAGUCCCAGCUGUAAACGAUGCGCGUUAGGUGUAUCGGUGACCACGAGUCAUCGAGGUGCCGAAGGGAAACCGUGAAACGUGCCGCCUGGGAAGUACGGUCGCAAGGCUGAAACUUAA
This 752-nucleotide ribosomal RNA is filed under the name uncultured archaeon. Its description in RNAcentral is "bacterial SSU rRNA". It matches the Rfam family "Archaeal small subunit ribosomal RNA", at positions 102 to 859 of the family's 1478-position model. The record is from RNAcentral.